CAGCAGCCACGGUAAUACAGAGGAUGCAAGCGUUAUCCGGAAUGAUUGGGCGUAAAGCGUCUGUAGGUGGCUUUUCAAGUCCGCCGUCAAAUCCCAGGGCUCAACCCUGGACAGGCGGUGGAAACUACCAAGCUGGAGUACGGUAGGGGCAGAGGGAAUUUCCGGUGGAGCGGUGAAAUGCGUAGAUAUUAGGAAGAACACCAGUGGCGAAGGCGACUUUCUGGACGAAAACUGACGCUGAGGCGCGAAAGCCAGGGGAGCGAACGGGAUUAGAUACCCGGGUAGUCCCUGUCUCUUAUAC
Molecule: ribosomal RNA, 301 nt
Filed under: uncultured bacterium
Lineage: Bacteria
Description: partial 16S ribosomal RNA
Rfam family: Bacterial small subunit ribosomal RNA
Source: RNAcentral